GAGUAACGCGUAUCCAACCUGCCCACCACUUGGGAAUAACCUUGCGAAAGUAAGACUAAUACCCAAUGAUAUCUCUAGAAGACAUCUGAAGGAGAUUAAAGAUUUAUCGGUGAUGGAUGGGGAUGCGUCUGAUUAGCUUGUUGGCGGGGUAACGGCCCACCAAGGCGACGAUCAGUAGGGGUUCUGAGAGGAAGGUCCCCCACAUUGGAACUGAGACACGGUCCAAACUCCUACGGGAGGCAGCAGUGAGGAAUAUUGGUCAAUGGGCGAGAGCCUGAACCAGCCAAGUAGCGUGCAGGAUGACGGCCCUAUGGGUUGUAAACUGCUUUUAUAAGGGAAUAAAGUGAGCCUCGUGAGGCUUUUUGCAUGUACCUUAUGAAUAAGGACCGGCUAAUUCCGUGCCAGCAGCCGCGGUAAUACGGAAGGUCCGGGCGUUAUCCGGAUUUAUUGGGUUUAAAGGGAGCGUAGGCCGGAGAUUAAGCGUGUUGUGAAAUGUAGAUGCUCAACAUCUGCACUGCAGCGCGAACUGGUUUCCUUGAGUACGCACAAAGUGGGCGGAAUUCGUGGUGUAGCGGUGAAAUGCUUAGAUAUCACGAAGAACUCCGAUUGCGAAGGCAGCUCACUGGAGCGCAACUGACGCUGAAGCUCGAAAGUGCGGGUAUCGAACAGGAUUAGAUACCCUGGUAGUCCGCACGGUAAACGAUGGAUGCCCGCUGUUGGUCUGAAUAGGUCAGCGGCCAAG
RNAcentral lists this ribosomal RNA (742 nucleotides) under uncultured bacterium. Its description in RNAcentral is "bacterial SSU rRNA". It matches the Rfam family "Bacterial small subunit ribosomal RNA", at positions 108 to 851 of the family's 1533-position model. The record is from RNAcentral.